Long non-coding RNA from Phasianus colchicus (ring-necked pheasant), 4177 nucleotides. The record is from Ensembl. NCBI's taxonomy places the organism in Eukaryota, Metazoa, Chordata, Aves, Galliformes, Phasianidae.
CAGCCGCCGGCGCCGCCGCUCUGCCCCGCUAGAGGGCGAGGCGGCCGUACGCGGCGCAGCGGGGGCCGCUGACGGGAGCUGCCUGUCCGCCACCCCGAGAGCCGCCGCGUUCGGCCCGAAGUUCAGCCGGCAACCUCGGCGCUGUCGGAAGGACCGAUCGGCGAACGCCGCGAGCGUCAGCACCGACGGUGCGGGAUACAGUGCUGCGAGCGGACUGCGGGCACCGCGCAGGGCAGAACCGCCUCCUGUUCGGGUACCGCCGCCAAACCGGGGCGGCUCUGCCCUCCCGCGGGGCUCCCGUGCCGCCCCGUGCGGCUCCGGCGGUGUGGCGUCACAGAGUGGGGCGUGACGUCACUGGCAUCCAGCGAGGGAAGGGACGUGACGUCAGCAUGGCAGCGCGCGUUCGUCGUCUGCCCCUCGGAGUGCAGCUGUCUGUCUUUUUGCUGUGGGGAUUUGGCUCCUGUCAGAUGCCGCAAAGAAGAGUUUGUUGGUUUUAAACCAAUUUUGUUGUGUUUGGACCUCUGCAUGUGGAAGUAUUGUUGUUGGCUAUUGCUUGCAGUGAAAGCUGUCCUUUUUCUUUAUUUCAGGUGCAGGUGUCAGGCCAGAUUCAUCCCUGGUUAUCCUCUGGGACUAUAAAUAAAACAGUGAAAAUAAGAAUCGAAGUAAUGCCAGAAUGAAGGGUAGAGCUGGCAAACGCUCAGAUUUGGGUUCUGCUUUCUCCAGAAUGGGCCCUCUGUUUUUAUGGCACUCUAACACGUAGUUACCAGCUUCAGUCUCAUUGCAGAGUGAAGCCUUAAAUCCCAUCCCCCCCACACACAGCACUGCAACUGAUGACACAUAUUGAAGAUGUGUGCGUGUUUUUGAUUGUUUUUCCAUAUAAUACAGCCCCCUUCAAACUUCGGCCUUCAGCUGUACCGCUUCCUGCGAUUCCUCCAACCGCCCUGUUGUCACGGUGCCGUGCCAUUGGGUUUUAGUAACGUGUUUGUAGUGUGAGGAAGGGACGUGAGCUGGGAGAUGUGCAGGGUGCAGGCAGCCGCCUCAGACGGGAACACAAGAGGGCAGGGUAGCAUUAAUUGUUGUGCUUCCUGACGUCAGACUUUUCUUUGCACUGUGAGCAUUUUCUCCGUUUGUUAUCUGCCUGGAACUUCUUAGGCUUCCCUAGUGAAGUUUCCAUAGUACCCACAAACCUUUAUAGCCUAUGGUGUUGUUUUUUGUUUUUUUGUUUUUUUUCCAAUAAUAAUCCUCCCUUUUAUUUUUUUUUUCCUCUGGGUACAUAAUUUAAGCAAAUUAUAUGUUCUCUAAAGCUGCAGUUAUAGCAUCUCUAAAUUAGAACUAGUCUUGAAAGCGUUACCCGUGUAAUUACAACACUUUCAAGAAAAAAAACACAUGAAGUCUCAUAAGAAGUUUAACUUACAGUAAAUUUAAUUUUCAAGCAUAUCUGCAUUUAUCACUAAAAAAUCCAGAAAUCUGCAGUUAGUGCUCAUUCUAAUGAUGACUUCUCUCUAGGUUCAUAAUGUACAGAAACACAUUUUAAAAAUGGAGCUCUAAUCACAGAAUCAUUAAGAUUGUAAAAGACCCACUGGGAUCAUCUAGUCCAGCCCAUCACCUCAUGUCUUUUGGAUCAACUAAUGUCAGGCUUAAUACGACGUGGUAAAAUAUGUUCAGACAUAUAACCUUAACUCUGACCUCCAUCUUUUUCACAAGGAAAUGGGAACUCUCUGCCUAUAUCCAUUGCUAUCUAAUGUUACUUUACAGAAGAUGAGAUAGAAAAUCACCAAGUUCAAUGGAAGAACAGGUACAAGUGGUCACAGUAAUAGCAGGAGGAGGGCUAAAAUCACCAAUCUUCAAAGACAGUUUUUUUUUAAAAAGAGCUCUGGGGAACAGCUAAGGCAAAAGCAGAAAACCCAGGUGCGGUCAAUCAAGAAUCAUUAGUUGCUUUUCAUUGAGUAUUGAUAUUCGAGUGUGUAUGCAAACAUCCCAGAAACAGUACAGAAAAGAACUAGAGCAUUAAAAAAACUUUAGGCGUGAAAUAGGUGUGAUGUGAUCUGACUAAGGAAAACCUUCAGGAGAGUUCUUGGGCAGCCUGAUCUGUUGGGUGGCAGCCCUUCCCAUGGCAGAGGGUUGCAGCUGGGUAAUCUUUAAGGUCUCUUCCUACCCAAGCCAUUCUAUGAGUGUUCAUUAAGAGCUAAGCUGUGUCUGGGAAGUGGAUUGGAAGCAUCUGCAAAAAAAAAAUUACUUGGAUGAUCUGCUUUUAAACUGGCUUGCCUCAAAAAAUACCUGAUGACAGUUCUCCGCCACACACACAUCCAGCUCAGGAAAACAGAAUGUAGGAUCAUAGAAUCAUAGAAUGGUUUGUUGGAUGGGACCUCUAAGAUCAUCUAGUUUCAACCUCCCUGCUAUAAGCAGGGACACUUCCCUCUAGACCAAGUUGCUCAAAGCCCCAUCCAGCCUGGCCUUGAACGCUUCCAGGGAGGGGGCAUCACAGCUUCACUGGGCAACCUGUUCCAGUGUCUCACCACCCUCAUACUGAAGGAUUUCUUCCUGACAUCUAGUCUAAAUCUACCCUCUGCCAGUUUAAAGCCAUUUCCCUUCAUCCUCUCACUACCUGCUCUUAUAAAAUGUCCCUCCCCAGAUUGCUGACUAUUCCUGCUGAAAGGGGUCACACAAUGUGACAGUUCAGGAGUAAGAUGUGGAAUAAGGAUAAAAAUGAAUAGGGAAGCUGGCAUAACUAGCUGUUUUCUAAAUUUUGGUUACAUUGAAGAAAUGCACUUAACCUAUGUUGAAUGGUUUUGUUUUGUUUUUAAAUAUGGAAUUCUUGUAUUUUCCACUGAGGGUAAAUUAAAGUUGUUGAUAAAUGAUGAAUAAUUGCACUGUUUAUUGCACAAACCUGACUGACUCAGCUACCUAGAGAGUGCCUGCUAAUCACUCUCUUGCAGAUCCAUUCCCAGUAUUCUGAAUCUGAUCUGCUUCUGACAAAUGAUUUGUGAAAUUUUGAAAAUGAUGGAGAAACGUAUUACUGGUUAGUGGGGUCAGAGAUCCAUACACUAUUGCUGUGUGCAAACAGAAACAAGGGCUUGACUGUUUAUUGUCCAGGAAAGGCUCUUAGAGUAGGCAUAUGUCUAUCCUUAACAAUUAUACAUAGUGCAUUGGUCUGCUUAGCUGUUGGCUUUCCUUUAAGGCAUUAAUGAUAUUCACAGUGCUAUUCAUUCCAUGUUACUGGCACAAGAACAAGUAAACAUAUCUCAGAUUCCAUAAGAUAUCAUGGCCAUUGUGCAUAAUCCAUAGCGUGAGGUCACCCUUCCUAUAAUGAUAUGAAGCAAGAAUAAUCUCUUGCUCAUGUUGCAGUACAAAUAGAAAGGUGAAAACUCAUAUUCAAGUACUGGAGGAAAGCCCAAAUGUCCUGCCUUUUUUUACCCAUGACAAUGCUGAUUAAGUGUUCAAGAAUGUGGGAUCAGUAGCAGAUAAUAUCUCUCUCACAGCUCAAAGCUUUUUUUUGCACUAGUCGGGCAGGAAUAGUUUUCAGUAGCUCACUUCAUCUUGUUCUAAAGCUCAGACAGACAAAAGUUCAUAAGUCUUUCAUUGACACUACUAUUUAAAUAAUUAAGUAAUAUUCUUCAAAGGGUAGGGGCACAUUAUCUUUAGUAAGUACAUCACUGCCAGCUCCUUUGUGAAAAUAAGAUGUGCUUUGUUAGAAAGAAGGCAAUGAUUCAGACAAUUCUUAUUUUACCAAGGCUACUUCUCAGUUGCAGUCGAAUUCCAGAGCCAAUUCUUGAUCAAUCCAAAAGGGCUACUCAAGCAAAAUCAUACCAUCCCUGGAAGAGUGUGCCAAACUUCAAAGGUUUUACCAUGUGUCUAUCUUUCUUCUUAAAUACAGAAUGAUGUAUUCUUCUUUAUUACUGUUCACUUGUCUUGAGGUAGCUUUAUCUUCACAUCUGGAUUUUCGUUGCUAUUCUUCACCUUUUCACUGCGGAUUUCUUUUAUCCAAAGCUUCAUAAAGAAAGUGCACGUAUCUGUGUGACAGGAUUUAUUGGCUGCAUUGUACUAAAUCAUAUUGUAUUUCACAAUGUUUAGUGUUUCUAUAUCCAUCAAUGCUGUAAAAGUUUCAUUUGAUAUUAAAGAGUUAUUUCAGUCAUCAGUGUAGUGUUCUGAAUAAAUCUAGUGUUCAUUCAAAAACUCA